UGCAGUCGAACGAGCUUCCGUUGAAUGACGUGCUUGCACUGAUUUCAACAAUGAAGCGAGUGGCGAACUGGUGAGUAACACGUGGGGAAUCUGCCCAGAAGCAGGGGAUAACACUUGGAAACAGGUGCUAAUACCGUAUAACAACAAAAUCCGCAUGGAUUUUGUUUGAAAGGUGGCUUCGGCUAUCACUUCUGGAUGAUCCCGCGGCGUAUUAGUUAGUUGGUGAGGUAAAGGCCCACCAAGACGAUGAUACGUAGCCGACCUGAGAGGGUAAUCGGCCACAUUGGGACUGAGACACGGCCCAAACUCCUACGGGAGGCAGCAGUAGGGAAUCUUCCACAAUGGACGAAAGUCUGAUGGAGCAAUGCCGCGUGAGUGAAGAAGGGUUUCGGCUCGUAAAACUCUGUUGUUAAAGAAGAACACCUUUGAGAGUAACUGUUCAAGGGUUGACGGUAUUUAACCAGAAAGCCACGGCUAACUACGUGCCAGCAGCCGCGGUAAUACGUAGGUGGCAAGCGUUGUCCGGAUUUAUUGGGCGUAAAGCGAGCGCAGGCGGUUUUUUAAGUCUGAUGUGAAAGCCUUCGGCUUAACCGGAGAAGUGCAUCGGAAACUGGGAGACUUGAGUGCAGAAGAGGACAGUGGAACUCCAUGUGUAGCGGUGGAAUGCGUAGAUAUAUGGAAGAACACCAGUGGCGAAGGCGGCUGUCUAGUCUGUAACUGACGCUGAGGCUCGAAAGCAUGGGUAGCGAACAGGAUUAGAUACCCUGGUAGUCCAUGCCGUAAACGAUGAGUGCUAAGUGUUGGAGGGUUUCCGCCCUUCAGUGCUGCAGCUAACGCAUUAAGCACUCCGCCUGGGG
This 857-nucleotide ribosomal RNA is filed under the name Lactobacillus sp. 14.2.30. Its description in RNAcentral is "bacterial SSU rRNA". It matches the Rfam family "Bacterial small subunit ribosomal RNA", at positions 56 to 878 of the family's 1533-position model. The record is from RNAcentral. Lineage: Bacteria; Bacillati; Bacillota; Bacilli; Lactobacillales; Lactobacillaceae.